GGGUAAUAUGGCUUAGUGGCAGAAUGUUUCGUUUUCACCGAAGAGGACAAAGGUUCGAUUCCUUUAUCACUAC
RNAcentral lists this transfer RNA (73 nucleotides) under Candidatus Hodgkinia cicadicola. Its description in RNAcentral is "tRNA-Glu". It matches the Rfam family "tRNA". Rfam says of the family: Transfer RNA (tRNA) molecules are approximately 80 nucleotides in length. Their secondary structure includes four short double-helical elements and three loops (D, anti-codon, and T loops). Lineage: Bacteria; Pseudomonadati; Pseudomonadota; Alphaproteobacteria; Hyphomicrobiales. The record is from RNAcentral.